GGAUUAGAUACCCUGGUAGUCCUAGCUGUAAACGAUGGAUACUAGACGUAGGAACUGGAUUGACGGUUUCUGUGUCGCAGCUAACGCGUUAAGUAUCCCGCCUGGGGAGUACGGUCGCAAGACUAAAACUCAAAUGAAUUGACGGGGGCCCGCACAAGCGGUGGAGCAUGUGGUUUAAUUCGAUGCAACGCGAAGAACCUUACCAACCCUUGACAUCCAGUGGAAGUUUUAGAGAUAAAACUGUGCCUUUGGGAACACUGUGACAGGUGUUGCAUGGCUGUCGUCAGCUCGUGCCG
RNAcentral lists this ribosomal RNA (296 nucleotides) under uncultured bacterium. Its description in RNAcentral is "partial 16S ribosomal RNA". It matches the Rfam family "Bacterial small subunit ribosomal RNA", at positions 775 to 1067 of the family's 1533-position model. The record is from RNAcentral.